GAUCAAUGAUGACAAUACCCAAAUCUGAGCAUCAGAAGGCCUUCCAGUCUACCUGAUGCAUGAUCUUUGUAGUUCAAGAA
This 80-nucleotide small nucleolar RNA is filed under the name Suricata suricatta (meerkat). Its description in RNAcentral is "Small nucleolar RNA U2-19 (ENSSSUG00005016552.1)". It matches the Rfam family "Small nucleolar RNA U2-19". From Rfam's summary of the family: U2-19 is a member of the C/D class of snoRNA which contain the C (UGAUGA) and D (CUGA) box motifs. The record is from Rfam by way of RNAcentral. Lineage: Eukaryota; Metazoa; Chordata; Mammalia; Carnivora; Herpestidae.